UCCUAAUUCAACAUAUCACAUGUUACUGUCUCUCAUACUCUCAUCUCUUUGUCGGUACUCUUUCUCUCUCUUCUAUUUCUCAGAGUGAGUUCUCUCUUUAUUCUUAUGAUUUAAUUUCAGAUCAGAUCGGUGGAUUUCCAUCUUAGAUUAGAUCGGUAGCGGCUUGGUCUCUUUCUCUAUCUCUUUUUUGAUCGGUGGACUUAAUCUCAGAUCAGAGAUAUGCAGUGAACUCUACACUCUCAAAUCGAUUGUUCAUCUCAUUUUUGUUAAUCUUUUCUUCAAUGGAUUCGGUAAAUGUAAGUAAAAUGUUUCGCUGAGGUGUCCGUUUUCUUCAAAUCGAUUAUGUCUGUUUCUUGCUCUUUUUCUAAUAAACUUGAAUCCCCAUAGAUUUCUCACCUUUUCUUUUUUAGAUUUUUAAUUUUGCUAAGGUGGCUUUUUUUUCCGAACUAUGAUGCUCGGCUAUGUAUUGGGUUGUUUCCCGAACUUGAAUCCCUAUAGUUUUCCGUAAAGAGAGCUUUCCGGCCAGGAGAGGUGGGUUGGUUUUGUCUCGGAGAUGAAAAGUGCAGCAUUGGUUUGGGAGUGCAACAGUGUUGUCAGGAACAGUGAUGAAACAUUGGUUGUCAGCGUGGGUCUUGGCAUUGGAUUGUGUGGGUUGUUGAAAAGAGGAGUGUGGUUGUUUUUGGUGGAAUUAUAAAGUGCAGCAGCAUGAGUGAAGUUAUUUUGACAGUGUAGCACUUGGGAAUUUGUUGUGGUUAGUGUGGGUUGUUUUGUGGAUUUUAAUUAUUUUAUUUUUAGAGUUAAGUGCUGUAGCUUUUGGCGGAAAAGAAUAGUGUGCGUUGGUGGAGAAAAAA
This is a long non-coding RNA of Camellia sinensis, 851 nucleotides long. RefSeq lists it as uncharacterized. The record is from RefSeq and is a predicted model, not a curated record. NCBI's taxonomy places the organism in Eukaryota, Viridiplantae, Streptophyta, Magnoliopsida, Ericales, Theaceae.